Molecule: ribosomal RNA, 346 nt
Filed under: uncultured bacterium
Lineage: Bacteria
Description: partial 16S ribosomal RNA
Rfam family: Bacterial small subunit ribosomal RNA
Source: RNAcentral
CCUACGGGUGACAGCAGUGGGGAAUAUUGCGCAAUGGGCGAAAGCCUGACGCAGCGACGCCGCGUGAGGGAUGAAGGUCUUCGGAUCGUAAACCUCUGUCAGCAGGGAAGAACGGUCACGGUGCUAAGCAGCAGUGAAUGGACGGUACCGGCAAAGGAAGCACGGGCUAACUCCGUGCCAGCAGCCGCGGUAAGACGGAGGGAGCGAGCGUUAAUCGGAAUUACUGGGAGGAAAGCGCGCGUAGGCGGUAUGUCAAGUCAAGGGUGAAAGCCCCGCGCGCAACGUGGGAACUGCCUUUGAAACUGGCAAACUGGACUGUGUGCGAGUAUAGUGGAAUUCCCGUUGU